GCACGGACCGGCCGCAACCAGCCCCUCAGAGGGCUUCCCCCCCGAAAAACGAAGUUCUUCGUCCCUGAGGCAAAGGUGGGAGGAAACCUUUCCCAACCACACAGCCGGCAUAGACCCACUAACCUGCCGGGAGAACGCCAAGCAGCCCCGAGAAGCGGAGCCCCCCCCAUCCCUUCACAGCCGAGGGCAGCUCUGAGGGAGCGGGGAGAUUGUUGAAACAGAACGCAGAACUAUUGCGGCAGCAUUGAGAACAACUCACAGGAGCACAGGAACCUGAGGGAAGAGGAGGCCCUUUGCUGAUAUAGGGAUGUUGGCUGAACAGGGUAAAGUAGCCUUGGACUCCGCUGGAAAGGCCUUGAAGGAAAUACUUACCUUUCCAGCCAGCAGCACCACUCUUACCUGCUGUGCUGGACCCAGACCAGUGCCUCACAUCACAAAGUGCUUCUGGAGACAGACAGGAUGUGGGCUUGUACAGAUUCAGAAUAUUCUGAGCAAUUGAAUCCACUUUGGCUUUAGAUAAAGAGAAUUACAUCUGACACAACGAGAUACAGAUUUCAACACUGUUUGGCUCUGCACUGGGAUCUCCAGGAAACCUGAUGUGAUAUCAUCCUGGAAGCACAGCUUCAGCAGCCACUGUCUAUCUGUUGGAUGAGACCAGUGAAGAAUUUUAAAUUAGAGUGCUUUUCUCACUCUGACCUCGCCCUGGCACGGUGCUGCCAAAUGCCUUUGGGGAGUUUGCCUGGAAGCCUUAAACCUCUUUCGGAUUUCUAUUCAUUUUGCAAAUCGUGUUUGUAAUUGGGAAACAAAACCAAAGCAAUGAAAAUAACGUUGAAGCUUGAAGGGGGGCUUGUGAGGCACCACUUGGCAACGGCAGCAGGUGGAACCCUUUAAGGACAGACACUGGACUUUGUACAUCGAGCCAAGUCCUGAUCCUCACUCUGAGGGCAUUAAUAUUCAUUGGACAUGAGAGUCACAAUGGAGCAGACAGUCAGCUGCCUUUGGAUGAGUAAGCUACAGAGAUUGUGCUACUAAUGGAACUGGGCAUCUACUCCAGCUUCUGCCUCUCCUCAGGCAUCAAACGAGUCAAAACACUGGGGAAAACCUUAAGCUCAUCUAUAUUUGUGUUAUGAUGACUGAAAACUGAAAAUAAAGUAAAAUGACCAUGAGUUAGUCAUGGCUGCUUGGAAGUCCUCCACUCAUCUGUUAUGGAGCCUCACAAAGUCCUCCUACCUUAGCAGCAAGAACUGUCCCAGGAAGAUGUUUCUCACUGACUGACACAAAGCAGUUCAAUCAAAAGUGGAAUAUUCUAGCUGAGAGCUACUAAUGAACUGAUUGCUCAGGUCUUGCUGGUUGUGCUCUGGCUGACCUACAAAAGGAAGAGCCACUGGACAGUUUUCCUCAUCUCCACACAGUUCCUUCCAACCAACUGAUUAUCAAGUAGAGCCUGAACGUGAUCCCAGGGAGUUAGAACAAAGGUGCAUGUUGUCCCCAGGCAGAUGCACAGCACAGUGAAGGGCAGGUAUGUGUGACACUUCCUCUCAUAUCCUUGCCUUUCCAUCUAUUUUCAGAUUAGAUUUCCUGAGCUACAUGUGGUUUCUUUCUACUUAGUAACUCAUAUUUUUUCCAAGUACUUGGUAAGUCUCCCCUUUGGCAACAAGCUUUGGGUGAGAGCUCUCCCAGCUUCCAAAGGAGCUGAAAACUCCCAAGUGUCAAAAACCAGCCACAAAUCACUCAAUGCCUGGAAGGCUGGCAUUGGAGUAGCCUUUUUUUACUAGAAUGAAUAUGCUGA
Pseudopipra pipra is the source of this 1789-nucleotide long non-coding RNA. RefSeq lists it as uncharacterized. The record is from RefSeq and is a predicted model, not a curated record. NCBI's taxonomy places the organism in Eukaryota, Metazoa, Chordata, Aves, Passeriformes, Pipridae. The transcript has 13 exons.